RNAcentral lists this ribosomal RNA (207 nucleotides) under uncultured bacterium. Its description in RNAcentral is "partial 16S ribosomal RNA". It matches the Rfam family "Bacterial small subunit ribosomal RNA", at positions 568 to 774 of the family's 1533-position model. The record is from RNAcentral.
UCCGUAGGCGGUAAGGUAAGUCAGUAGUUAAAUGUCCAGGCUCAACCUGGAAAAGGCUAUUGAUACUGCUUUACUAGAGAUAGUUAGGGGUCUGCAGAACUUAUGGUGUAGCGGUGAAAUGCGUUGAUAUCAUAAGGAAUACCGAGGGGGAAGCCAGCAGACUGGGACUAUUCUGACGCUCAUGGACGAAAGCGUAGGUAGCGACAC